This 1008-nucleotide long non-coding RNA is filed under the name Macaca mulatta (Rhesus monkey). RNAcentral's name for it is "lncRNA (ENSMMUG00000057281.1)". The record is from RNAcentral. Lineage: Eukaryota; Metazoa; Chordata; Mammalia; Primates; Cercopithecidae.
AUCCCUAGUAAUGGGGAUUGCUGGGUCAGAUGGUAGUUCUUCUUUUAGCUCUUUGAGGAAUCACCAUACUGCUUUCCACAAUGGUUGAACUAAUUUACACCCCACCAACAGUAUGUAAGUGUUCCCUUUUCUCUGCAACCUUGCCAGCAUCUGUUAUUUUUUUACUUUUUUAGUAAUAAUCAUUCUAAUUAUAUAUUAGACAUAAAAACCCUGUGUAACAUAUAUUUUUCUGAUUCUACUUGCUGAAUCAUUGUACUAGAAGCAUACAUGUGUCCAGGAUUUGCCAUUCUCUGUUUUUUAGGUAUAGAUCACUAAUGAUGCAGCAAAUAUUUGGGAGAUUAAAGACGAAUCACAAAAGCAGUAAGGAAUCAAUUUCCAACAACUUCUCAGAAGGCUUCUUUGUAGUAUCAUUUGCCAGAGGGAUGAAAAUAGCUGACUAGGUAAGCAGAAUGUAUAACCCAUGAUUGGCUUAAAUAAACCACUUAUGGUAGAAUGGAUAAUAUAAAAUAAAUGAUUUAUGUUCUAGGAUUUACAUAUUCAGCAAAAGCAGUUUAACAAUGGAUAUGCAUAUGAGAAUAAAUAGAGAAUAUUACUGAAAUAUAACGUUAGCAUUUAGAAUCUAUAACAUAUCUGUGUUCCAAUGAUUCUCAACUAAGAUUAGAGCUACUCUACUAAGGGGCAUUUGGUUAUAAGAGGAGAAGGCAGGAUAUGCUUGUAAUUGUCAUAGUAUCUUAAGGGUGAAACUGGCAUACAGUGGCCACAAGCCAAGCAUUCUAUAAUUCAUGGAUUAGUCUCUAAAAAUACGACAUAUUGAAAAAUGUUGAUUAGAUCAUAUUUAUGUAAAAUAAUACUACAAAUACCAAUAUCAAUAUAAAAAUAAAUGCAUAAAGAUAAGGUACAUAUGUAGACUUGUACAUAGUCAUUUCACAUUAAAUAUUACUUUAAACAUACUGUAACAAACAUUCAUUUUAUUAUUCAUUUUGGCAACUUUAACAUCUAUAAGAGCCC